AUUGAACGCUGGCGGCAUGCCUUACACAUGCAAGUCGAACGGCAGCACGGGAGCAAUCCUGGUGGCGAGUGGCGAACGGGUGAGUAAAGUAUCGGAACGUGCCCAGUCGUGGGGGAUAACGUAGCGAAAGUUACGCUAAUACCGCAUACGAUCUAUGGAUGAAAGCGGGGGAUCGCAAGACCUCGCGCGAUUGGAGCGGCCGAUAUCAGAUUAGGUAGUUGGUGGGGUAAAGGCUCACCAAGCCGACGAUCUGUAGCUGGUCUGAGAGGGCGACCAGCCACACUGGGACUGAGACACGGCCCAGACUCCUACGGGAGGCAGCAGUGGGGAAUUUUGGACAAUGGGCGAAAGCCUGAUCCAGCCAUGCCGCGUGCAGGAUGAAGGCCUUCGGGUUGUAAACUGCUUUUGUACGGAACGAAAAGGUUUGGCCUAAUAAGCUGAGCUCAUGACGGUACCGUAAGAAUAAGCACCGGCUAACUACGUGCCAGCAGCAGCCGUAA
RNAcentral lists this ribosomal RNA (500 nucleotides) under uncultured bacterium. RNAcentral's name for it is "partial 16S ribosomal RNA". It matches the Rfam family "Bacterial small subunit ribosomal RNA", at positions 30 to 523 of the family's 1533-position model. The record is from RNAcentral.